UGUCGUUGCUUGGCUGUAAACCAAGUGCUUUUCGAUCUUAGCCGAUCUCAGGUUGACCGUCCUCGGCCCCUUUCGGUGCACUUAUUGGAGAGCUCUUUGGGCCUGCCGCUUUCUCAAUCGAAAAUGGAAACCUUUCAAGAUUAGCCUACUGAACGAUUCUUUCUAUCACUUACGUGAUUUCUUCUCUUAGUAAAUUUAUAGAAUAAGGGAUUCAGGAUUCAAUUGAAAAUGGUACUUUUUUUGAUUGAAUUCAACCAAACCAAGAACUUCUUCU
Molecule: long non-coding RNA, 274 nt
Filed under: Lathyrus oleraceus (garden pea)
Lineage: Eukaryota; Viridiplantae; Streptophyta; Magnoliopsida; Fabales; Fabaceae
Description: Pisum sativum (pea) long non-coding RNA (PSAT_LNC011218)
Source: RNAcentral